Molecule: long non-coding RNA, 4075 nt
Organism: Ruditapes philippinarum (Manila clam)
Lineage: Eukaryota; Metazoa; Mollusca; Bivalvia; Venerida; Veneridae
Exons: 6
Source: RefSeq, a predicted model, not a curated record
UUUAAAGUUAUAUUCCUGGUCAAAUUCAUCAAAACAGAUUGUCAAAUUAACGCCUUAUUGUUAUCAAAUGCAUUAUUUAACUAGUAUUGACAAAGUUUUCCAACUUAGAAACGCUCUCCGUAACAUUUCUGACCAUUCUAAAAAAUGCAUUUUCUUAUUUGACUGGGUUAGUCAAAUAAGAUUUAUAUUUUGGCGGGAAGCCCUUCGAUUAUUUCCGUAAAUGUUCGGAUCUGAGUCACGUGAUAUGAUUUACCAAACCAAAAUAAUGGCGGACAAUACGAAAGGUGUGUCACCUAUACGAGAAAUAAAUUUUGAGAUUGGAAAAGGAAAAAGCGAAAAGUGGGAAGAAACUGUGAUUUAAUUCAAUCAAGGAUAUACUCCGGUAGUGAUUCAAAGCGAUGAAAAGUUCUAAAAAGGGUAAUUAAAACCAAAAGCGACCGUGAAGUUGUUAUCUGAUUGACAGAAAUAAGUCAAUUUCAUCAUCAUCAUGUGUUGCAAUACCACUACCAGGGACAUCAAAGAUGACCUGGACUUCAGUGCAUAUGCAGAGGAGAGUAGCACUAAAGAAAGCCAAUAAAAUCCUUUUGGAGUUGAAUUGAGACACAACCAUUCAUUUCUGGUUUAGUUAUAAAACUGCUACAGACUAUAAACUAUUCAUGAUGAUGGAAUACACCAAUGCCUAGUACAAUCAUGGCCCAUUAGAAACCAGAACAAACCAUGGCUGCAAAGGAAAUAAGAUGCACAUAGUCUGAAAGAUCUGGCUGGUGUUCUGAAUAAGAUGACAUAAUAUCUCAACUGCAGGUUUGUUCUCAUCAGAAGUACAGCUGGCAUGGAGGGGUUUCACCAGCACAUCUUGAUGUAUUGUACCAAAAGAUUUGCUUACACACCACCUGUUUAUAGGAUGCACAAUCUUCUAGCAGCCAUAGAUUAUAAUAUACAUGCAAAUAGACCAUACAUCACCAACAAGGGGGAUCUGUUAGACUUCAGCGAGUCUGGAUGAAUUAAAGAAGAAGAAAAAGUAUCAUUAUACCAUUUUUCAUGAUGCUAUAACUCUGAGAAUUAGUGACAUGGAGGGGAUAUAUAAAAUAGAAAGUUAGAGGAAGAUGACCCCCACAGACUUUCAAAAUAUUUGGCCCAAGUUAGCCCGAAGCCUACCCGAGCCAUUCAUGAGGAACAUAAAUCAAGAUAUGAUUGACUUUUUAUGGAAAAGAAUGACAAAUAGUGUGUUACACUGAUUGCCCAACUAUUCAAACAUAUUUAAGCUGACAUUGAACACCUGGUAUUCAUGAUAGUUUUAUGAAAUAUCUUUUUAGAUAUGGCACUGUAUCUAUCUUGUUUCGAAAAAAAUUCUCUUGAUUCAUUUGUCAUGACUCAAGGUCUGUUUUUAAUAUUUUGUCAGAAAAAUGACUACUUUUUAUACAAGUGCAAAAUAUUAUCCAAUCUAUUAAACUAUAAGUGCUGCUAUGAGCUUUAAUGUAGUAACAAAGUUUAAAGUAUUAUUCAAUUUUAUCUUUUGAUAUACAUGUACUAUGUCAUUCACUUUAGCUCAGCUUUUCUUCUUUUUUUUUUUUUUUUUUGAAAAAAGAAAUAGAGGUUGCUGCCCUUGCCUUCUGCAAACUUGAACCUUGUUCAUAACUUUUAAAGUUCUUGGUGUAUUGUCUAACCUUGGCCUUCAUUCAUAAUUGACCUUGACCUUCAAGGUUAAAUGUCUAAAUUUUGGCUUUGCUUGUUAUUUGCUAUUAGUGGCUUUAACUUUAUUGCCCUGUGUUAAUUUUCAUAUUUUAUUUUUGUCUUGGCCAUUUCUCCUAAACUAUAAUGUUCACAAGGCAACACAUCCGACUCGCGGAGAUCAAUUGUUAUUAGUCCAUGAAUUGUUUGUAGUCCAAUCUAGUUAAUUAGACCAAUGUCAUAGGGGCAUUUUAUAUAAAAUCCUUGUUCAAUUAAACAAGGCAAGCCUUAAAAUUAUCUUUGUAUUUACUCCCUCAUCCCAUUCCAGUUUAGAUAGGUUAGGUGGGCUGAUAAAAUAUUUAUUUUUGUGCCCCCACUUUAUUGGCGGGCAUUUAAAUUUACCCUUGUCCGUCUGUCCGUAUUUCACCUAGAGUCAUGAAACUUUACUGUAAUGUUGAUCAGCAAGUGUAGUUGUUCACCUUGGUAUUUUCAUCUGGAUAUUUUUAGUAUUUUCAGAGUUACUGCCAUUGAAUUUUUGCAAUUUUCAACUUGUGUCGCAUGCUUCUCAGGAAGUAUUUGACCUAGAGCAAUGAAACUUUACAGGAAUGUUGAACAUUAUGUGUAGUUGUGCACCUGGGUAUUUUCGUCUGGAUUUAGUAUUUUGAGAGCUAUGGCCCUUGACUUAGUAAAAUUUUGCAAUUUUCAACUUGUGUCGCAUGUAACUCAAAAAGUAUUUGACUUAGAGUCAUGAAACUUUACAGGAAUGUUGAUCAGCAUGUGUAGUUUGCACCUGGGGUUUGGCUUGUGGAUUUAUCCAGUAUUUGUAGAGUUAUUUCCCUUGACUUAGUAAAAAACGUUUAAUUAUGUUGUUAUUUGUUCCUUGAGUGCUUGAGUGAGAAUCAACCAACUUUACAGGAAUAAUGAUCAACAUCACUUAAUUACAGGAAUAAUGAUUUACAUCACUGUGAAGCUAUGAACCUGGGACUUUUAUGUGGAUUUUUUUCAGUUUUGUUAGAGUUAUUGCCCUUGACUUACAGUAGUAUAAAUUUACAAUUUUUAACUUGUUCAUGCAUAGCUAAAAAAAUAUUUAUGUUUUCUUUCAUUUCAUUCAGCCAAACAUAAAUAAUUUAUCAUUUAACUCCAUAAUUAAUAUCCUACAGGGAUAAAAUAUAAAUAAGAAAGACAAUAUAGGAGUGGCUACUACAGGUUCACUUUAAUUUAUCGAAUAAUUUACAAUUUUCAACUUGUUCAUGCAUAGCUCAAAAAGUAUAUCACUUGUAGGCCUGAAUGUUUAAAAGAAUGUUGGUCAGCAUGUGUACUUAUGCACCUUGGGGUUUACUUGUGAAUUUAUUCAGUAUUUGUAAAGUUCUUGCCCUUUACUUAGUAAAAGAUUUUUAGUUUUCAAAAAAUAUUUGACCUAGAGUCAUAAGAUUGACAGAACAGUGGCGCGUAGGGGGGGACCCGUGUCCUAUGGACACAUUCCUAGUUAUUCAAAAUGUUUGUCUUGUUUUAUUUUUCAUUAAAAUUAUAUGUAGUUCAAACAAAUUGUGAAUGCAUGAAAGCAUCUGUUUUACUUGAAAAUUUAGAACCAUAUUUUCAGUUUCAAUCAACAAAUAUCCCAACAUUUGUAUAUUUACAAUUAAAAAAUCACGAGACAGUUAAAGAGAUGUCAUUCUCAUUGACACUCUGAUUUCAUUUUAGUAAACAAAUCCUGGGCAAUGAGAUAUUUUAGGUAGCUGUGCUAUUUGUGGGUAGGUCGCGGGAGUGGGGAACAAACAAUAUUUUACAUUCAGGGGUAAGCCUAAGUUUUUAGGCUUGGUAGGAACAUUGCCCUUCCCCAGAUAAUGGCACCAACUGAUUUUGAGGUAAUUAGAUUUAAAGCUCAAGAUGGCAUAAAGUUUAACUUCCUUUAAAUAUGUGUAACAUUGUAAGGUAUAGUUUAUGUAACUCAGAAGGAAAAAUUCUGAUUGCCAUUAGUUUUAAGAUUUGUCCAUUUGAUUAUACGUUCAAGGUCUCAGUGACAUGUAAACUCAUUGUCCCAAGGUUUUGAACAUUUCCAGGGACAUUGCUUAGAUUAGUAAUUAAGCAUUAGUUUGGAGUUAAUAAGGUCUAAGGUCACAAUGGCUUAAGCAUAAUAUCCUUCAUCACCAGAAACCCAUAAGGGGUUAGCUCAAGUUCAUACAAUUUGGUUGGAAUUAAGAUAUUAUUUAUUUCCUUCUACAAUAUUGGCCAUCUUCACACUUUCUCUUCCUGUUAAGACAGCAUGGAUUGAAUAAAAAAUAAAACUAUAACUGUAAAGAAGUCACUGGUGUACAAUUUUAAGAGUAAGAAAAAGAAGAUAUGCUGUUCAUUUGAAAAUAUUUUAUUGUUGUUUUACUGCCAAUGUUCAAAUACAUGUUUCAAUUUA